CAGCAGUGGGGAAUAUUGCACAAUGGGCGCAAGCCUGAUGCAGCCAUGCCGCGUGUAUGAAGAAGGCCUUCGGGUUGUAAAGUACUUUCAGCAGUGAGGAAGGCGGGUGUGUUAAUAGCGCAUUCGUUUGACGUUAGCUGCAGAAGAAGCACCGGCUAACUCCGUGCCAGCAGCCGCGGUAAUACGGAGGGUGCGAGCGUUAAUCGGAAUUACUGGGCGUAAAGCGCAUGCAGGUGGUUUGUUAAGUCAGAUGUGAAAGCCCGGGGCUCAACCUCGGAAUUGCAUUUGAAACUGGCAGACUAGAGUACUGUAGAGGGGGUAGAAUUUCAGGUGUAGCGGUGAAAUGCGUAGAGAUCUGAAGGAAUACCGGUGGCGAAGGCGGCCCCCUGGACAGAUACUGACACUCAGAUGCGAAAGCGUGGGGAGCAAACAGGAUUAGAUACCCUGGUAG
RNAcentral lists this ribosomal RNA (451 nucleotides) under uncultured bacterium. RNAcentral describes it as "bacterial SSU rRNA". It matches the Rfam family "Bacterial small subunit ribosomal RNA", at positions 349 to 793 of the family's 1533-position model. The record is from RNAcentral.